UACGUAGGGUGCAAGCGUUAAUCGGAAUUACUGGGCGUAAAGCGUGCGCAGGCGGUUUUGUAAGUCUGUCGUGAAAGCCCCGGGCUUAACCUGGGAAUGGCAUUUGGGACUGCAAGGCUGGAGUGCGGCAGAGGAGACUGGAAUUCCUGGUGUAGCAGUGAAAUGCGUAGAUAUCAGGAGGAAUACCGAUGGCGAAGGCGGCGACCUGGGCCAAUACUGACGCUGAGGUGCGAAAGCGUGGGGAGCAAACAGG
This 253-nucleotide ribosomal RNA is filed under the name uncultured bacterium. RNAcentral describes it as "partial 16S ribosomal RNA". It matches the Rfam family "Bacterial small subunit ribosomal RNA", at positions 524 to 776 of the family's 1533-position model. The record is from RNAcentral.